UUUUUGUUAACUUCAUAAGCUCGUAUAAUCGCAGGGAUAUGGCCUGCAAGUUUCUACCAAACCCCCGUAAAUGGGUUUGACUACGAGUGACGCAAACAUUUCC
RNAcentral lists this non-coding RNA (103 nucleotides) under Fictibacillus arsenicus. RNAcentral describes it as "Guanine sequence". It matches the Rfam family "Purine riboswitch aptamer". Rfam says of the family: Riboswitches are metabolite binding domains within certain messenger RNAs that serve as precision sensors for their corresponding targets. Allosteric rearrangement of mRNA structure is mediated by ligand binding, and this results in modulation of gene expression. Lineage: Bacteria; Bacillati; Bacillota; Bacilli; Caryophanales; Fictibacillaceae. The record is from Rfam by way of RNAcentral.